Non-coding RNA from Chiloscyllium plagiosum (whitespotted bambooshark), 395 nucleotides. Lineage: Eukaryota; Metazoa; Chordata; Chondrichthyes; Orectolobiformes; Hemiscylliidae. The record is from RefSeq and is a predicted model, not a curated record.
GGCAGCAAUAGUAAUUGGGGAGAUGUUUCACUUGAGGUCAGAGGAGAUUACAAGGCUGAGAAUGUCAACAACUAAGAGUUCUUCCGUGUCACUCACCAUUCUCCAACUGACAGGACACUGAGAAAAUCUUUCCCAAGCACUGCAAUGUGUAUAAAAGAGGACAAGACUAAACAUGAAUGCAGCCGCAGAAGAAGGCACUUGCUUCAGGGGAAAAGAUACAAUUAACUUUCUGGGGACUGGGGUGUGCCUUAAAUCCAUAGUAAACAAUAAAGCCAACUUGAAGUGAAAUAUUUUGAAGACUUAAACACAACAGGAAGAUACUCAAAGAAGUCAACUGUAAACUGACAUUACAAUGAAACUUUCACUGUAUCCCAGGGAGUGCCAGAACAUGUAAC